This 369-nucleotide ribosomal RNA is filed under the name uncultured Nitrososphaerota archaeon. RNAcentral's name for it is "bacterial SSU rRNA". It matches the Rfam family "Archaeal small subunit ribosomal RNA", at positions 511 to 880 of the family's 1478-position model. Lineage: Archaea; Thermoproteati; Nitrososphaerota. The record is from RNAcentral.
UAAAGCAUCCGUAGCCGGUUCUGCAAGUCCUCCGUUAAAUCCAGCCGCUCAACGGAUGGGCCGCGGAGGAUACUAUAGGACUGGGAGGCGGGAGAGGCAAGCGGUACUCAGUGGGUAGGGGUAAAAUCCUUUGAUCCAUUGAAGACCACCAGUGGCGAAGGCGGCUUGCCAGAACGCGCUCGACGGUGAGGGAUGAAAGCUGGGGGAGCAAACCGGAUUAGAUACCCGGCUAGUCCCAGCUGUAAACGAUGCAGACUCGGUGAUGGGCUAGCCUUGUGCCAGCCCAGUGCCGCAGGGAAGCCGUUAAGUCUGCCGCCUGGGAAGUACGUACGCAAGUAUGAAACUUAAAGGAAUUGGCGGGGGAGCACA